This 71-nucleotide transfer RNA is filed under the name Loxodonta africana (African savanna elephant). It matches the Rfam family "tRNA". Rfam says of the family: Transfer RNA (tRNA) molecules are approximately 80 nucleotides in length. Lineage: Eukaryota; Metazoa; Chordata; Mammalia; Proboscidea; Elephantidae. The record is from Rfam by way of RNAcentral.
GCAGUGGUGGUUCAAAGGCAGAAUUCUCACCUUCCAUGUGGGAGACUUGGAUUCAAUUCCUCGCCAGUGCA